This 468-nucleotide ribosomal RNA is filed under the name uncultured bacterium. Its description in RNAcentral is "bacterial SSU rRNA". It matches the Rfam family "Bacterial small subunit ribosomal RNA", at positions 26 to 518 of the family's 1533-position model. The record is from RNAcentral.
AGGACGAACGCUGGCGGCGUGCUUAACACAUGCAAGUCGAACGGGGUAGCAAUACCCAGUGGCGGACGGGUGCGUAACACGUGAGGAACAUGCCUAUCGGCGGGGGAUAGCCGGCCCAACGGCCGGGUAAUACCGCGUACGACCAUCGGGUGGCAUCGCCUGGCGGUGAAAGCAGCAAUGCACCGAUAGAGUGCCUCGCGGCCUAUCAGCUAGUUGGUGAGGUCACGGCUCACCAAGGCGACGACGGGUAGCUGGUCUGAGAGGACGAUCAGCCACAUUGGGACUGAGACACGGCCCAGACUCCUACGGGAGGCAGCAGUGGGGAAUAUUGCGCAAUGGGCGAAAGCCUGACGCCAGCGACGCCGCGUGUGGGAUGACGGCCUUCGGGUUGUAAACCACUGUCGGGAGGGACGAAGCUCUGACGGUACCUCCAAAGGAAGCACCGGCUAACUCUGUGCCAGCAGCCGC